AAUGAACGUUGGCGGCGUGGAUUAGGCAUGCAAGUCGAGCGAGAAUUUGCGAUUGGAAGCUUCGGCCGAAGAAAGUGAAGGAAAGCGGCAAACGGCGUAGUAAGGCGUAGGUACGUACCCUCGGGUCGGGAAUAGCCAUGGGAAACUGUGGGUAAUGCCCGAUAAUCUCUGCGGAGCAAAGGUGUGAUUCCGCCGGAGGAGCGGCUUACGUGAUAUUAGCUAGUUGGUGGGGUAAUGGCCUACCAAGGCAACGAUGUCUAGGGGGUGUGAGAGCAUGGCCCCCACGACCGGAACUGAGACACUGUCCGGACACCUACGGGUGGCUGCAGUCGAGAAUCUUCCGCAAUGGGCGAAAGCCUGACGGAGCGACGCCGCGUGGUGGAUGAAGGCCCUUGGGUUGUAAACACCUGUCAGGGGGGAUGAAAGCGCAAGCUUGACAGAGCCCCAGAGGAAGCACGGGCUAAGUUCGUG
Molecule: ribosomal RNA, 471 nt
Filed under: uncultured bacterium
Lineage: Bacteria
Description: bacterial SSU rRNA
Rfam family: Bacterial small subunit ribosomal RNA
Source: RNAcentral